GGAUUUGGUUGUAGAUCAAUGUUAGAGUUUGUUCGGGUACGGGUAGCGUUAAACGGCAAGAAACAACCAACCUACGCUGUAGCAGCCUAAGAAGCUGCUCACGUGCUCCUACCUUCCAUUGCCCAUGUGGCGGGAUAGGGGCUCAACUUUAGUGGGAUACGCUGUCUAGUCUCCGCCUGGGGCUAGCUGAAGAAGACAAUCAGGCUGACCCGAAGGGAAUCCGGUGACAGGGAGUCUCUAGGGUGACAUCAAAUCUGUUACUACACCCGUAGAAGCUUAUGUUGCGUUAUCUUCGGACAGGGGUUCGACUCCCCUCGGCUCCACCA
RNAcentral lists this transfer-messenger RNA (326 nucleotides) under Cohnella fermenti. It matches the Rfam family "transfer-messenger RNA", at positions 54 to 374 of the family's 374-position model. Rfam says of the family: Bacterial tmRNA, also known as 10Sa RNA or SsrA, is named for its dual tRNA and mRNA-like properties. Its role is to liberate the mRNA from a stalled ribosome. Lineage: Bacteria; Bacillati; Bacillota; Bacilli; Caryophanales; Paenibacillaceae. The record is from Rfam by way of RNAcentral.